AUUGAACGCUGGCGGCAGGCCUAACACAUGCAAGUCGAACGGUAACAGGAAGAAGCUUGCUUCUUUGCUGACGAGUGGCGGACGGGUGAGUAAUGUCUGGGAAACUGCCUGAUGGAGGGGGAUAACUACUGGAAACGGUAACUAAUACCGCAUAACGUCGCAAGACCAAAGAGGGGGACCUUCGGGCCUCUUGCCAUCGGAUGUGCCCAGAUGGGAUUAGCUAGUAGGUGGGGUAACGGCUCACCUAGGCGACGAUCCCUAGCUGGUCUGAGAGGAUGACCAGCCACACUGGAACUGAGACACGGUCCAGACUCCUACGGGAGGCAGCAGUGGGGAAUAUUGCACAAAGGGCGCAAGCCUGAUGCAGCCAUGCCGCGUGUAUGAAGAAGGCCUUCGGGUUGUAAAGUACUUUCAGCGGGGAGGAAGGGAGUAAAGUUAAUACCUUUGCUCAUUGACGUUACCCGCAGAAGAAGCACCGGCUAACUCCGUG
Molecule: ribosomal RNA, 490 nt
Filed under: uncultured bacterium
Lineage: Bacteria
Description: partial 16S ribosomal RNA
Rfam family: Bacterial small subunit ribosomal RNA
Source: RNAcentral